Molecule: ribosomal RNA, 279 nt
Filed under: uncultured bacterium
Lineage: Bacteria
Description: partial 16S ribosomal RNA
Rfam family: Bacterial small subunit ribosomal RNA
Source: RNAcentral
UGCCAGCAGCCGCGGUAAUACAUAGGGGUCAAUCGUUGUCCGGAUUUAUUGGGCGUAAAGAGCUCGUAGGCGGAACAGAAAGUUAGAAGUGAAAUCCCUGGGCUCAACCUAGGAAUUGCAUUUAAAACUUCUGUUCUGGAAUUAAGGAGAGGAAAAUGGAAUAUCCAGUGUAGAGGUGAAAUUCGUAGAUAUUGGAUGGAACACCAGUGGCGAAGGCGAUUUUCUGGACUUAUAUUGACGCUGAGAUGCGAAGGCAUGGGUAGCAAACGGGAUUAGAUA